This 963-nucleotide ribosomal RNA is filed under the name Staphylococcus epidermidis. RNAcentral's name for it is "bacterial LSU rRNA". It matches the Rfam family "Bacterial large subunit ribosomal RNA", at positions 1 to 959 of the family's 2925-position model. The record is from RNAcentral. Lineage: Bacteria; Bacillati; Bacillota; Bacilli; Caryophanales; Staphylococcaceae.
AGAUUAAGUUAUUAAGGGCGCACGGUGGAUGCCUUGGCACUAGAAGCCGAUGAAGGACGUUACUAACGACGAUAUGCUUUGGGUAGCUGUAAGUAAGCGUUGAUCCAGAGAUUUCCGAAUGGGGGAACCCAGCAUGAGUUAUGUCAUGUUAUCGACAUGUGAAUUCAUAGCAUGUCAGAAGGCAGACCCGGAGAACUGAAACAUCUUAGUACCCGGAGGAAGAGAAAGAAAAAUCGAUUCCCUGAGUAGCGGCGAGCGAAACGGGAAGAGCCCAAACCAACAAGCUUGCUUGUUGGGGUUGUAGGACACUCUAUACGGAGUUACAAAAGAACAUGUUAGACGAAUCAUCUGGAAAGAUGAAUCAAAGAAGGUAAUAAUCCUGUAGUCGAAAACAUAUUCUCUCUUGAGUGGAUCCUGAGUACGACGGAGCACGUGAAAUUCCGUCGGAAUCUGGGAGGACCAUCUCCUAAGGCUAAAUACUCUCUAGUGACCGAUAGUGAACCAGUACCGUGAGGGAAAGGUGAAAAGUACCCCGGAAGGGGAGUGAAAGAGAACUUGAAACCGUGUGCUUACAAGUAGUCAGAGCCCGUUAAUGGGUGAUGGCGUGCCUUUUGUAGAAUGAACCGGCGAGUUACGAUCUGAUGCAAGGUUAAGCAGCAAAUGUGGAGCCGCAGCGAAAGCGAGUCUGAAUAGGGCGUUGAGUAUUUGGUCGUAGACCCGAAACCAGGUGAUCUACCCUUGGUCAGGUUGAAGUUCAGGUAACACUGAAUGGAGGACCGAACCGACUUACGUUGAAAAGUGAGCGGAUGAACUGAGGGUAGCGGAGAAAUUCCAAUCGAACUUGGAGAUAGCUGGUUCUCUCCGAAAUAGCUUUAGGGCUAGCCUCAAGUGAUGAUUAUUGGAGGUAGAGCACUGUUUGGACGAGGGGCCCCUCUCGGGUUACCGAAUUCAGACAAACUCCGA